RNAcentral lists this long non-coding RNA (414 nucleotides) under Elaeis guineensis (African oil palm). Its description in RNAcentral is "long non-coding RNA (EGUI_LNC025801)". The record is from RNAcentral. Lineage: Eukaryota; Viridiplantae; Streptophyta; Magnoliopsida; Arecales; Arecaceae.
UUACAAUUAGAGUUAUUAGAGUAGGUGUUUGUAUUAGGGUUAAGAUUAUUUGAAUUAUAAUUUAUAUUAGAUUUAAAAAUUUUGAUUAGAAGAUAAUUAGGGUUAAGAUUAGGUUGGGGAUUAGGGUUAGAGUUGUGGAGUGGGGUGUGAGGAAGAAGAAAGCAAAAAAAGAAAAAAAAAAGAAAAAAAAGAGAGGAAUAGAUCAUGAAAAAAAUCGGGUUAGGAUUGUUGGAUUAGAUGAGAUAAAAAAAAAUGGUGGAAGAAAAAGGAAGAAAGGAUGGGUAGAGAGGUAUAAAUCGGGGAAGAGAGUAGAAAAGCACCAAAUAAAGAAGACAGUGAAAGAUCCCAUGGAGAAGAAAAAGAAAGAUUAAAAAAAAAAUUCAAAAAAAAGGAAGAUAAUGAGUAAUAGAUUGU